CGAACGGGGAGAUUCAUCGUCAGCGGACGCCGGCUUCGCGUCGGUCGGCGAUGUCCCGCGGGGGCCCUCGCGGCUCUCAGCGCGGGCACGCUGCCGUGCGCCGAUGUAUCCGGCUUCGCCGUCGUGCACUUCUCCCCUGGUAGAACGUCGCGACCCGCUGGGUGUCGGUCUACGGCCCGGGUGCGGUGUCUGACGCGCCGCCGGUAAAACGGCGCGCGUCAAACCCCCGGUCGCCCGGCCGGCUGCCCGGCGGUACGCGCAAGGUAUCAGGCCGCACACACAUUUGAACGGUGCGUCGAGGCCGUCGCAAGCGCGCGCCACGGUACACGGAGGUACGGACCUAGCGCCGUCACCGGUCCUGGCCCGCUGUUGGUCGUACGGUUAACCUUCGACAGGCCUACGAACGUCCCAGCGCGUGGGGGUCGGGGGCUCGUCUCCCGCGCUCUCGCGCGUUGGC
RNAcentral lists this ribosomal RNA (457 nucleotides) under Myrmica sulcinodis. Its description in RNAcentral is "partial 28S ribosomal RNA". The record is from RNAcentral. Lineage: Eukaryota; Metazoa; Arthropoda; Insecta; Hymenoptera; Formicidae. RNAcentral also lists the same sequence under 1 other name.